AAUUGAGGAGCCGUUCGGCAGCUUGCCUAUGGGCCCUGAAAUGAAGCAGAGAUCAAGGAGCUGCAGGUGAGGUGACUCAGAAGACUGAAGGAUGCAAUGUUUCAGAACAAGCUGGAGAUAAAGUCCACCGAAGUCAUCCUUCCAGCAAGGUCUGCUGAGUCUCUCAGCCUGGUUCCAGUGGGGGUCCGAGAGGAGCUACAGUCACUUUCCACCCUUUGUCACUGCUCUUAAACUGGGCGCUGUUCCUGGGGACAACAUGAUGCCCGUGCCCUAGGGAUAUAACGUGGCCAACUGCUCCCAGCUUCUGACAACUCCCCCACCACAAUGGACCAUCACCGGGAACUGAGUUAAAAAUAAAGCUUUUGUCUCUUAAGUUGCUCUGUGUGUAUCACAUCGACAUGAAAAGGAAACAAGCAGUUGCUCUUAACCACUGCUCCAUCUUGCAGAAUUCUUAAGAAUAUUAGACGAGACAAUAUAUUUAUGCCUGGUGCGGGAUGCACAUCAGUGAGCGUUCAGUAAUUGGGCAAACAC
RNAcentral lists this small RNA (531 nucleotides) under Rattus norvegicus (Norway rat). RNAcentral describes it as "uncharacterized LOC102552309". Lineage: Eukaryota; Metazoa; Chordata; Mammalia; Rodentia; Muridae. The record is from RNAcentral.